Anolis carolinensis (green anole) is the source of this 675-nucleotide non-coding RNA. The record is from the annotation of a RefSeq genome assembly. Lineage: Eukaryota; Metazoa; Chordata; Lepidosauria; Squamata; Anolidae.
CAGCUUGAAUGAGUCUUCAUUGCAUAUUAUUAUGGUAUUGUGUCUAAACAAAUCCUCUUCCUGAAGGCUGUGACUUUACCGCACUUGUUUCCAUGGCACCUAUAUGAUGCUUGCCCACCACACAGCUUCCUGUUCUGACAUGAGUAUUUUGUCACAUGAGCCCUUUAGCGUGUGUCAAAAAUGCUCCUGUUGCUGUUUCUGCAGUUGGCCCAGUUAGGCAAACGGCUGAUGAAAUGCCCCAUUACUCCAAUAGGCUUUCAUUUGCUGGCUGUUUUAUUGUUCUCAUCAGGUUCUGCACUUGAACAAUCUCUGGACACGAUAAUAGAGAAAGGGAGUUCCGUGACUCUGAACUGUUCUCAAAAGAAAUCCCAACAUACUUACAUGUUCUGGUAUAAGCAAGAGAGAGGAAAGGAUAUGCAGCUUCAGUUGGUGGUUUUUUCAAUUGAAGGUUUUGGAGGAAAGGAUGAUGUUGAAAAGGAAUUUAAAAACCGCUUCAAGACCACUGGAGUGAAGGAUUAUGAAUUGCCUCUGUCAUUGGAGAAUGCUCAGGUGGAAGACACUGGCACUUACUUCUGUGCCAAGAGAGAAUACACAGUGAGAUAACCAAUGUGGAAGCUGAACAUAAACCUCUUCACAUGGGAACCCAAGACGAUAAAAUAAAUCAGCUGUUAUCCA